This 253-nucleotide ribosomal RNA is filed under the name uncultured bacterium. Its description in RNAcentral is "partial 16S ribosomal RNA". It matches the Rfam family "Bacterial small subunit ribosomal RNA", at positions 524 to 776 of the family's 1533-position model. The record is from RNAcentral.
UACGUAGGGUGCAAGCGUUGUCCGGAUUUAUUGGGUUUAAAGGGUGCGUAGGCGGCCCUGUAAGUCAGUGCUGAAAUAUCCCGGCUUAACCGGGAGGGUGGCAUUGAUACUGCGGGGCUAGAGUACAGAUGAGGUAGGCGGAAUUGACGGUGUAGCGGUGAAAUGCUUAGAUAUCGUCAAGAACACCUAUAGCGAAGGCAGCUUACUGGGCUGUAACUGACGCUGAGGCACGAAAGUGUGGGGAGCAAACAGG